AGAGUUUGAUCAUGGCUCAGAACGAACGCUGGCGGCAUGCUUAAUACAUGCAAGUCGAACGAGAAGCCGGUUUCGGCCGGUGGAAAGUGGCGGACGGGUGAGUAACGCGUGGGAAUCUGCCCUUGGGUACGGAAUAACGUCUGGAAACGGACGCUAAUACCGUAUGGUCCGGUAACGGUAAAGAUUUAUCGCCCAAGGAUGAGCCCGCGUCAGAUUAGCUUGUUGGUGGGGUAACGGCCUACCAAGGCUACGAUCUGUAGCUGGUCUGAGAGGAUGAUCAGCCACACUGGGACUGAGACACGGCCCAGACUCCUACGGGAGGCAGCAGUAGGGAAUAUUGGACAAUGGGCGAAAGCCUGAUCCAGCAAUGCCGCGUGAGUGAUGAAGGCCUUAGGGUUGUAAAGCUCUUUCGGCGGGGAAGAUAAUGACGGUACCCGCAGAAGAAGCCCCGGCUAACUCCGUGCCAGCAGCCGCGGUAAUACGGAGGGGGCUAGCGUUGUUCGGAAUUACUGGGCGUAAAGCGCGCGUAGGCGGCUUACCAAGUUGGGGGUGAAAUCCCGGGGGCUCAACCUCGGAAUUGCCUCCAAAACUGGUUCGCUCGAGUCCGGAAGAGGAGAAUGGAAUUCCCAGUGUAGAGGUGAAAUUCGUAGAUAUUGGGAAGAACACCAGUGGCGAAGGCGGUUCUCUGGUCCGGUACUGACGCUGUGGCGCGAAAGCGUGGGGAGCAAACAGGAUUAGAUACCCUAGUAGUCC
RNAcentral lists this ribosomal RNA (753 nucleotides) under uncultured bacterium. Its description in RNAcentral is "bacterial SSU rRNA". It matches the Rfam family "Bacterial small subunit ribosomal RNA", at positions 8 to 796 of the family's 1533-position model. The record is from RNAcentral.